ACACUCCUGCGGGAGGCAGCAGUGGGGAAUUUUGGACAAUGGGCGAAAGCCUGAUCCAGCAAUGCCGCGUGCAGGAUGAAGGCCUUCGGGUUGUAAACUGCUUUUGUACGGAACGAAAAAGCUCCUUCUAAUACAGGGGGCCCAUGACGGUACCGUAAGAAUAAGCACCGGCUAACUACGUGCCAGCAGCCGCGGUAAUACGUAGGGUGCGAGCGUUAAUCGGAAUUACUGGGCGUAAAGCGUGCGCAGGCGGUUAUGUAAGACAGAUGUGAAAUCCCCGGGCUCAACCUGGGAACUGCAUUUGUGACUGCAUGGCUAGAGUACGGUAGAGGGGGAUGGAAUUCCGCGUGUAGCAGUGAAAUGCGUAGAUAUGCGGAGGAACACCGAUGGCGAAGGCAAUCCCCUGGACCUGUACUGACGCUCAUACACGAAAGCGUGGGGAGCAAACAGGAUUAGAAACCCGAGUAGUCCCAUGA
This 476-nucleotide ribosomal RNA is filed under the name uncultured organism. RNAcentral's name for it is "partial 16S ribosomal RNA". It matches the Rfam family "Bacterial small subunit ribosomal RNA", at positions 333 to 800 of the family's 1533-position model. The record is from RNAcentral.